RNAcentral lists this small nuclear RNA (111 nucleotides) under Sus scrofa (pig). Lineage: Eukaryota; Metazoa; Chordata; Mammalia; Artiodactyla; Suidae. The record is from RNAcentral. RNAcentral also lists the same sequence under 1 other name.
ACUUGCUUCAGCAGGAUAUUUACUGAAAUUGGAACAAUACAGAGAAAACUAGCAUGGCCUAUGGUUAUGCACAAGGAUGACAUGCAAAUUUGUGAAGCAUUCUAUAUUUUU